RNAcentral lists this ribosomal RNA (492 nucleotides) under uncultured bacterium. RNAcentral's name for it is "partial 16S ribosomal RNA". It matches the Rfam family "Bacterial small subunit ribosomal RNA", at positions 29 to 507 of the family's 1533-position model. The record is from RNAcentral.
AGUGAACGCUGGCGGUAGGCCUAACACAUGCAAGUCGAACGGCAGCACAGUAAGAUCUUGCUCUUACGGGUGGCGAGUGGCGGACGGGUGAGGAAUACAUCGGAAUCUACUUUUUCGUGGGGGAUAACGUAGGGAAACUUACGCUAAUACCGCAUACGACCUACGGGUGAAAGCAGUGGAUCUUCGGACCUUGCGCGAUUGAAUUAGCCGAUGUCGGAUUAGCUAGUUGGCGGGGUAAAGGCCCACCAAGGCGACGAUCCGUAGCUGGUCUGAGAGGAUGAUCAGCCACACUGGAACUGAGACACGGUCCAGACUCCUACGGGAGGCAGCAGUGGGGAAUAUUGGACAAUGGGCGCAAGCCUGAUCCAGCAAUACCGCGUGGGUGAAGAAGGCCUUCGGGUUGUAAAGCCCUUUUGUUGGGAAAGAAAAGCAGCAGGUUAAUACACCGAUGUUCUGACGGUACCCAAAGAAUAAGCACCGGCUAACUUCGUG